CCGCGGCCGUGGCAGGUCCCCGAAGACCUGGGUGUCCUCGGCCUCCCGCAACACCAGUGCGCGCAUACUCGCCGCGAUGCGGUCCAAGUCCGGAGAGGAGGGCUGCGGGGACGGCAACAGGGCGAGGAUGAGACCCAGAGACCCAGAUCAGGAACUGGACCUGACCAGGGGGAGGCCAGAGCAUCCAAUGAGCUGUGUUGCUGUGCGUCCCAAGCACAGACAGCAGCAGCAGGCAGACCCUGUCUGCACCGGGCCUGGUUCCUGCUCUUCAGCGCCCACUGCCUCGUGGAGGAAGGAGGUAGGGAGGACGUGACCACUGUGACUGCUGGUUUACACAUGAGGACACUGAGGUCUGAGAGCAUGGACUGUGGGGACCCAGGCCACCUCCCUCAAAGCCCACAGCUCCUUCCUGAAAGGCAGCUGGAUUCCAGUCCCAGCUCUGCCCCUCAGGGAAGUCACAUGUCCUCUUACUGCCUCAGUGAGGGGUGAGGAGGACCCACCCAGGCUAGCCCAGCCCAGGAGCUUCAAACAGGGAUGAACGAGACCGGGGGGUGGGACAAAUUCUGCAAAGAGCCGGGAAUGUGCAGGGUGGGGAUGGGAGGUGAUCUGAACUCUCCAAGCUUCAGUUUCCCCAUCUAGAGGGAAUGCCUGUGCCUUGCCCAGAGCAAGUGUUCUACAAAUGAAGACGCUCCUGGAAAGGAGAGGGCUUCUCUGUAAGGCACUAGGACACACGGUAAGGCCGCAGUUGUUAAAACUGCAAGGCUUGGGCCCAAGAACUUGCUUCUUGAGUUUGAGGGGAGGAUUCAGUCAGCUUAUGGGUGGAAAGUAGCAUCCAUGCCAGAGGGCUUCCUGGAGGAAGUGGCUCAGAGCCCUUCCAGCUGCCCUCCCUACCUCCCCCCAUUUGCCCCUUACCGGCCCAUUCUCCUCAUCCGAUGACCGUGCCUCUGUCCUCUUCUCCUUGAAGGCCCAGACGGGCACAGACACAGGCAGGGACUUGGCAUACUGCUGUGUGGGCAGGGCUGAGGCUGGGGGGACUGAGCAGGUCGGGGGCCCAGUGGGGGUCUCCUCACUCAGGCUGCCAUCUGAAAGCGAGGGUAAAUUUCAGCGUCUGUGUCUUUGUGCCAGCCACCCACCUCCAGGUAGGGAGGGGACCACCCAGGACACUCACCAUCUGUGCUCUCGGGGUCCGACUCACAGAAAGGGGGAAGGUCCUGGAGGGUGGCAUCCUCAUCCAUCACGAAGAGCCCUGUGGAUGGUGUGAGUGAGAGGCCCGGGCCAGUGGGCGCCUGGCCAUGCUCCGUGUGCCCUCCUCCCCAGCCACGGCCCCGACCAUGGUCCCCGCCUCCCUGCUGAGACCCACUUCCUUCACCUCGAAAACCCUUCCCCUAGCCACCUGCCUGGUCAUCGGCAGAAACACACCCUCUAUGCAUCUGUCACCUUCUCGGCUACACACGACGUAGCUAACAGGAAACCGCUACGAUCUGUUCGGGACGAUGGGACUGAAAAUACAGCCUGAGAGAAAUACGGGAUGACCGUGACCUCUGUUGACAAAGGAGACCUGGAGGCCCAGAGGGGUUAAGUCACUUGUCGGAGGUCCCAUGGCUACUAAGGGACACCACCAGGAUUUGAACUCAGGAUGCCUGCCCUCCCCCAUGUGGAUUUUCUCCCACAACAGUCAUCGUGGAAAUGACUCUGGUUCUACUUAUGCCCUGCUCCAGAACCCCCCGACCCUCAUCAGGACUCCAAUUCCUUGGCUAGACUGGAAGCCCCUUGAAAAGGGCCAAAGUCUGCUCUGUGUCCCUGUGGCUACCACUUCUAGCACAGAGCUGGCUCCAGGACCAGUAAGGCUCAGAGCGGGGAAGGGAUUGGCUUCAGAUCACACAGCAAGUCCCAGGCAAGCCUGUCUGGCUGUGGGGUCCUGAGACCGCAUCUCGAUGGAAGUACUCAGGACUAAGCAGGUCCCACCACCCCAGACCCCAGGAAAGCCUCCAGCGGGUACCUUGUCAAGCGCUGGGCUGCCCCUGCCCCUGUGCACGCCCUCUCACCUCCGU
Callithrix jacchus (white-tufted-ear marmoset) is the source of this 2051-nucleotide non-coding RNA. NCBI's taxonomy places the organism in Eukaryota, Metazoa, Chordata, Mammalia, Primates, Cebidae. The record is from RefSeq and is a predicted model, not a curated record.